This is a long non-coding RNA of Stegostoma tigrinum, 3381 nucleotides long. RefSeq lists it as uncharacterized. The record is from RefSeq and is a predicted model, not a curated record. The transcript is spliced from 3 exons. NCBI's taxonomy places the organism in Eukaryota, Metazoa, Chordata, Chondrichthyes, Orectolobiformes, Stegostomatidae.
AAAAGGGGUGGGAGAACUUGCAGCAACGCAACUUUUAACUUUAAUCGCCUGCACUGGCGCUGAGCGGAGAUUUUCCCAGUGAGUUUUGAAGGCAGUCCCUUCCAGUUCUCGGGAAUGGGGUUGUUCCCCGAACUCAGUCCCUCCCCGAGUCCGCACUGCCACCAACUGGUCCGAGGGAAGCAUGGCAGGUGGGGCGGAGGUAGGAAUCAGACCCGAGCAGAGCCUGUGAGAGGGAGAGACAUCGGAUUCACACGAGAGAAAGCUGGACGUGGUGAAGUUUAGAAUCAAUUCAGAGCAGCGACUGGAACGAGAGCGAGGGAGACUGAAGGCAUUAAUGAACAACAAUUAGCUCGGGUCCUGGACAUUAUUCACAUGAAGUGCAAUGUAGAGGGCAGUUGAGAGUCAACCACACUGGUGUGGGUCUGGAGUCACAUGUGGACAAGACCAGGAUCUGAACUAAACCAAGAUGUGCCACAGCACUUGAGAAUUCACUUUGAUUCUGCUUGGCAUUCUUGCAAAUCUCUGUUGUUUCGGGUUUCUUGGUGUCCCUCCACUAGCACUAAACACCUGAUGAUUGUGAGUAUGCCAUCUCAAGCUAGGGCUUCACUGCUUUCUUCCUUUAGUGGUCUGCAAUUGAUUCAUCCAGAAGAACUAAAUCAGGGAAUGUUUUCAGUUUGAAAUUAAUGUAUAAAAGAUAAUCACAGGCCAUUUAACCUGUAUGCCUGAACUGUCAUGAAUAUUGUAAGAACAACGGUAGAAAAGCAGUGAUCAAGAUAAAUGGUCAACAAUUUGGGAUCAAUAUUGGGAAGCAUCUUGUCAGAUCAUCAUUAAGGAAAGGGGGCUGCGACAUUUUUAGCAAGAAUACAUUCUGCAAACACAGAAUUGCACACCACAUGAAUGAGUAACAAUCCUGAAAAAUAAUUGUCAAGGCUGUGUACCUUUCUGCAUGGGGCUGAAAUGUUGACCUUAAGAAAAAGCAGAUAGUCUAGAAAGUUGUCAAAUGUGAUUUUUUACGUUCACAAGAUGUAGAUGCAGAGGUAGGCUAUUUAGUCCAUCGAAUCUACUUUGCUAUUCAAUGAGAUUAUGACUUCUUUGACAAUCCUCAACUUUACUUUUGUGUCUUUUCCCCAUAACACUUCAUUCCAUUACUGACUAAAAAUUGGUCUAUCUCAGACUUGAAUAGACUUAACAACCCAGCCUCAACAGCCCUCUGCCAAAAAGACCUCCACAGACUCUCCAGAGAAGGAUGGGACACAUCAAUUGGAGAGAUCAACUGGGACAGCGUAGUUGCUCAGUGGUUAGCACCGCUGCCUCAUGGUACCAGGGACCCAGGUUCAAUUCCAGCCUUGGGUAAUUGUCUGUGUAGAGUUUGCCCCAUGUUUUGAUUGUUUGUCCUGUGUCUGUGAGGUUUCUUCCCACAGUUCAAACAUACGCAGUUUAAGUGGACUGGCCGUGAUAAAUGUGGAGGUCUGGGUGGGAUGCUCUUUGGAGGGCCGGUGCGGACUUGAUGGGCUGCUUUCACAAACAAGGAAAGAAAAAGACCGCAUGGUAUGGAGAAAUUAGCAGAAGACCAGCCAUUACACAGAUCACUGUUACACUGCUACAAUACACAAGCAUCACAGAUUGAAAAUAAUGUGGAUAUUCCAAAGAUCCUCUUCCUGUUGCCAUUGUUAACAUGCUUUCUCUUCGAAGUGCACAAAUUCUAAGGUCAUUUAAAACCUUUGAAUCUGCUCAUACUGUUCACCUUUGCAUGUGUAUAAAUAAAUUCUGUAUGUAAGCAAUUGUCAGCAUUCACUUGCUAACCAGUAGAAGUCCAUGGCCGUGGGCUCUGUGCGUCCGGGUGGCUGAUGAGCUGGAUCCUAGCGCCACAUUUCCGACUACGCAUUUGGCAGGUGUUUCCCAGAAGUGGAAGUAGUAAUUUAUUCGUUUAGCAGCUUUCAUGACUUUCAGGAUAUCCCAAAGUACUUUCUAACCAAUUAAGUACUUUUGAAGAGCAAACAUAGUUAUAAAUCCUGCAACCAGUUUCAUGCUGUAAAGUCUUACAAAAUCAAAACAAACAUCUCUAUACAAUGUAUAAUUAGGUGUUUGCAUAUAAAUUAUGAUCAGGACACCAAUUUACUUCCACUUUUCAAAUCAUGCUGUGAGAUCAUUUACGUGAGAGUUAAAAUAUCACUGAAAUAAACCAGAUUUGCGAAUACUGGAAAUCUAAAACGUACAAAAAAACCCAGAAAUUGCUGAAGAGGCACAACAAGGUCUGACGGCAUCUGCGGAGAGAAAACAGAGUUUACAUUUCGAAACCGGUGACCAUCUUCAGAAUCUUGUGGAGGAUGGGUCGCAGGAUUGAAACAUUAACUCUGCUUUCUCUCCACAGAUGCUGCUUUGUUCAUUCCGUUAUUUCUGCUUUGGUUUGUUUUAGGACAAGUAUCAACUUGCUUUGUCAUCUCAUCUGAAAUACAGCAUCUCUAACAGUGCUGCGUUCAUUCGGGACUGAUUAUCCCAAAUCGCUAGAAUGCGGUAUUAUCGAAAAGCCUCUAGCCUAGUGUUAAUAUUGGGCUGAGUUUAUCACUUGCGACAUACUCCUUUCUUUCUUGUUCAGAUAUUAGCUCCGUUUCCUCCUCCAGUCGAAACAAUUGAAUGUGGAUUCUAUUUCCCAUGAUUUGUGAUCCAACAGAUUUCAACAGGCAGCCCAUUUCACCGAAAUCAGCACAGCCAAGGCAAAAGAUCGCCACAUUUUUAGCACAAAUUACUUCCUGCACAAAUCGUGUUUCUACGGUCUUUAUGUAUUGGCCUAGAACAUGUCACCUUGCUUGGAAAGCCAGUCGCCUUCACCGAAGGCUUUAAAAUGUAAUGUUUAGAUUGUAAGAAUAGGUUUAUUUUAAAAUAUUUCGUUUGGUUCUGUACAGUAGCAUAUGAAGAAACAAACUGCUUUAGUGAUUAUACGUAUGUAAAUAUAUUUUGAGUAAUGUAUAUUUUUGAAAUUAAAAGGUCUUAAAUUAUGAAGAACUUGAUUAGUACAAGUUAUAAAUAAGUCAGUGAAGUAUUAAAAUAACACCAGCUAUUUGAAAUUGGGUUUCUAAUGAUGCCCUAACCACUGAUUAAAAAUGGUUAUUUUUACAGUAAGCCUAUAUUCAGAUAGUUAAAAUUGUACAAAUUUACGACUUAUUUUCUCAUUUCUAAAAAUGGUGUUCUAAGAUGCUGCCAAGUUGUCUCUUUUCAUAGCAGACUUUACAUCAAAUGAUUGGCAAAUAAAUUGGUUUGGAAAUUUGAAAGACAACGAAAAUCAUUUCUGACCCUGUUGGGAGUGCACUGUGACUGCAUUCAAAACUGAAACUAGAUAUUUUUAAUCAGUCUGUUAUGACACGCCCCUGGAGCAGGUGUAAC